RNAcentral lists this ribosomal RNA (254 nucleotides) under uncultured bacterium. Its description in RNAcentral is "partial 16S ribosomal RNA". It matches the Rfam family "Bacterial small subunit ribosomal RNA", at positions 524 to 777 of the family's 1533-position model. The record is from RNAcentral.
UACGAAGGGGGCUAGCGUUGCUCGGAAUCACUGGGCGUAAAGGGUGCGUAGGCGGGUCUUUAAGUCAGGGGUGAAAUCCUGGAGCUCAACUCCAGAACUGCCUUUGAUACUGAGGAUCUUGAGUUCGGGAGAGGUGAGUGGAACUGCGAGUGUAGAGGUGAAAUUCGUAGAUAUUCGCAAGAACACCAGUGGCGAAGGCGGCUCACUGGCCCGAUACUGACGCUGAGGCACGAAGGCGUGGGGAGCGAACGGGG